RNAcentral lists this ribosomal RNA (687 nucleotides) under Limosilactobacillus fermentum. RNAcentral's name for it is "bacterial SSU rRNA". It matches the Rfam family "Bacterial small subunit ribosomal RNA", at positions 662 to 1349 of the family's 1533-position model. Lineage: Bacteria; Bacillati; Bacillota; Bacilli; Lactobacillales; Lactobacillaceae. The record is from RNAcentral.
UGGAACUCCAUGUGUAGCGGUGGAAUGCGUAGAUAUAUGGAAGAACACCAGUGGCGAAGGCGGCUACCUGGUCUGCAACUGACGCUGAGACUCGAAAGCAUGGGUAGCGAACAGGAUUAGAUACCCUGGUAGUCCAUGCCGUAAACGAUGAGUGCUAGGUGUUGGAGGGUUUCCGCCCUUCAGUGCCGGAGCUAACGCAUUAAGCACUCCGCCUGGGGAGUACGACCGCAAGGUUGAAACUCAAAGGAAUUGACGGGGGCCCGCACAAGCGGUGGAGCAUGUGGUUUAAUUCGAAGCUACGCGAAGAACCUUACCAGGUCUUGACAUCUUGCGCCAACCCUAGAGAUAGGGCGUUUCCUUCGGGAACGCAAUGACAGGUGGUGCAUGGUCGUCGUCAGCUCGUGUCGUGAGAUGUUGGGUUAAGUCCCGCAACGAGCGCAACCCUUGUUACUAGUUGCCAGCAUUAAGUUGGGCACUCUAGUGAGACUGCCGGUGACAAACCGGAGGAAGGUGGGGACGACGUCAGAUCAUCAUGCCCCUUAUGACCUGGGCUACACACGUGCUACAAUGGACGGUACAACGAGUCGCGAACUCGCGAGGGCAAGCAAAUCUCUUAAAACCGUUCUCAGUUCGGACUGCAGGCUGCAACUCGCCUGCACGAAGUCGGAAUCGCUAGUAAUCGCGGAU